Triticum aestivum (bread wheat) is the source of this 1911-nucleotide long non-coding RNA. RefSeq lists it as uncharacterized. The record is from RefSeq and is a predicted model, not a curated record. Lineage: Eukaryota; Viridiplantae; Streptophyta; Magnoliopsida; Poales; Poaceae. The transcript has 5 exons.
GUAACCGAAGGGUCCGUCCGUCUGUCAGUGUACAAACCGAUAAAAAGAAGCUCGACAGAAGCCCAUCGCUCCAUCUCUUCGCAUCCCUUCCCUGUAUCAUGGCAGCAGCCAGGGCGGCGCGACGUCGUCAAUCAGCACUCAAUCACCACCGGGCGGUGACCGGCAACCCACAGCAGAUCCGUUGCAGGAUCGCACCACCUCCGGUCGACAAGGAUUGAGCUCCGCGGAUCCAGGCGCACCGGCCAGAUCCGUCGCCGAGGCGACGACCUCCACCACCGCCCCACUAACCUGCAUCCUCGACGCGCCCAACCCCGGCCACCUCGACGACUCCACCUCCUCAAGGACGACCUGCACCACCGUCCUACCACCCCAGAAUUGACGCUGCCGCCGCCUCUCGGCGACUUCCCCUACCGGCACUAAAUUUCGCCUUUAAACAGUGGAGCGGCGCCGCCCCCAUCGCCUCCAACAUCAGGUCGGUGUCUGCUCCUUUACUCUGAAAUCGUGCCAUGCUGGCCAGAUCUAUUCUCUUUGUGCUGAAGUUGGCUGGGGACUUUUCACGUGGCAAGUUUCGUUGGCUGUACUAUCAAAGAUAGAAUGAGUGGAUUUGGUGUCAUACCAGUCAUGUUUCGACACUGUACUGACAAAGUUUGAGUUUAUAUUGCCAUCUCAACAAUACAUGGAUAACAUAUUAAAGCCAUCGCGCCACCCGCCGGAUUGCUGUGGAAACUCCUGUUAGGCAUCCUCUCCUGAAUCUGCAUAGUAUUUGCAAAUUACUCCUGUUAGAUGUGAACGCACAGCUGGAGUGGAGACGACAAAUGGAAGAAUCACAGAGUGAAGGAAAACUGAGAGCACUAUGAUGUUCACUGAACUUCAGAUGACCGUUUUAUUAAAAGAAAAUUUUCGUUUAUUGCAACCAGGGCAGCGCUACAGAGGUACAAGCUUAGUACUAAACUGUUGUUAUGCAUCUGCAUGAUUGUAUAUGUAUCUCUUAAUGUAUGAGGAAGCUCUUCGAUCUAAAAAUGGCUUCAGAGGGUACUUCCAGCAUUUUGAAAUAUUCCACAGGAUAUAUGAAGACAAGCCUAUCCUAGCCAAUCGAUUCUCCGUAAUAAUUUACACUUGCUUUCAUGACUAUCUUCACUUGUGGCCUUCCGCAUCGUUCAACAUUUAAUUUUGAUCUCUGAUGCUUGCACGAGAUGCAAAAUUCUAGGAGCACAGCAUGGAUUUCAAAUUGCUUUUCAGAUGCAUGGGACCGUGUCCAUGACAUCAUAUGUCACAGGGCAACAAACAGCACAAGACAUCUUAUGAGUGGACAUUCGUGAUGGCGUCUUAAGAGACUAGCGAUGUCUGUGUUACCUGCUUCCCUCUGCGAUGAUCCCAUCCAGCAGGCAGGCGGGACUAGCAUGGACCGGGCGAGUGGCAGCGGCGACCGGGAAGGCUGGGUGAUCAACUCAGUUGAGCUAGGAUACAAUUAGAUAGCCACAGCCCACAGGGACAAUUUAGUCCUUUCACGAGCCUACUUAUGUGAGAAGAAAAAAAAUGAAUAAAAGAGGUGCUAAUGGCAUAGUAAUCAAGGUGUCAACGAUCUAAGUGGCCAUUUUAUGGAGUCAAUAUGCAAAGUGGCAAUUUCUCAAAGCCACAUGAAGGAGGUGCCAAAAAUCCAAAUACUACAACUUCAUACAGUCUAGGCCCUUGGCACUUUCUGCUAAGAGAAAAUAUUAGCAACAAUCAGUUUGCAUAAUAUUGAUGUGCUCAUUUAUCAUGGAUGGUUAUCAAAUGCAUUUCACAGAGGUUAAUGUGCCUGGAAGUAUGUAAUAAAGUUAGCUUAUGUGUGAUCACUUACCAAAUUUUAGCUUAUGUGUGAUCACUCUUACCAAAUUUCUGGUAAAAUAUCUAAUGGAACGCAUAAUAUUA